Molecule: non-coding RNA, 1352 nt
Filed under: Pongo abelii (Sumatran orangutan)
Lineage: Eukaryota; Metazoa; Chordata; Mammalia; Primates; Hominidae
Source: RNAcentral
GCCCGCUGAGCGAGGGCCCUAAUGAGAAGGGAAGGUCGCGUGGACAGGCUGCCAGGGGCAAGCGUUUUUAGAUUCCUUCCUCCUUCUUGGCCCCAGAUGCACUUGGUUGCACGCUCUGGUUCCCAAGCCCCCGGCCGCUGGCUUAUGCAAAUCACUUAGGUACAUGCAAAACUAUCCCUUCUCCCGGAGCGCCAUUGGCCCGGGGAGGUCGCGAGCUCAUUACUAUGCAGAAAGGAGAGCCGCCAUUGGCCAAGGGUAGGACCAGAGGGGCGUGUUUCUCGGGCAAAUUGGAUCUCCUAAAUUGGAUGACCUGGAAAGUAGAACUUCCCUCCAGCGUUCAGUUAAGUUUCAAAUGACUCUCCGCUGUUCCAAAGGGCGAGGACGUCUGGAGCUCUGCAAACGGAAAAAAGAUUUUGAAGAGGAGGAAAAAAGUUUCCCUCGAUGUGACACACAUCUUUGGGUUUUAGCUAUACACUAAGUUAAAAGUGUACCCUCUCCAGUGCCUCACUUCACCUGGGAUCUUUACACCUAUCUUGAUACACAUUUGGUAGCUAAGUCUUAGCAAUUCAUUCUCCCCAGUCCUCUCUCUGUAUUUGGUGAUUUUGGUGACUGCAAAUCAGACUCCUUUCUCACUCACUGUAAAAUCCUGAAACUAGGAAUUUUGUAAAAGGUCAGAGAAAGUGAUGUUUCUGAACACUGGACAAUUUCCAAAACAUCUGAGUGGGAGGUGACUACGGCUCAGAAGCCAGCAGCAACGUUGGUGUUAGGGCUGGAAGACAACUUAAAGACCCCCAGAAAACUCUGGUUUUAUAGAUAAGAAAUCUGAGGCUCGAGAGAGAAUGUGUUCUGCCCAACAUCAUCACGGAACAGCUCCUGGGCUCCUGGCUCCUAAUCUGAGCACACAGGACUUGUUCACUGAUGGAUAAGCUGGACUUCGGUUCUAACACCCCUUUACCCAAGAACUCUUGUAAACAUAGAACCUGAACAAGUAUAUGCAGAAGCCCUACCCGUUGGGUGAACGGUUCAAGGUGCCCUGUUACAACAACAACAGCUCAGAGACAGUGGGGGCUCUGAGUGCUGCAAUGAUUGACUGGAUAAAAGUCCUCAAACAUAUAGAAUUUCACUUUUUAUGAACUAUUUCGACUUAGAAAAAGAGUUAAUAGCAAUCAGCUUAAGAAAUGUUACAAAUGUAGUUGAAGUUCCCUUUGUACCACUCCGCAAUCAUAUUCCUUUUCUUCCUCUCCCUGAGAAGUAAGCACUUUCCUAAACUUUGUAGUUAAUUCCCAUGCAUAUUUUCAUGCUUUUCAUAUGCAUGUAUCCCUAAACAAUAAACAGCAUUGUUUUUCAUAUAU